This 1278-nucleotide ribosomal RNA is filed under the name Triticum aestivum (bread wheat). RNAcentral describes it as "partial small subunit ribosomal RNA". The record is from RNAcentral. Lineage: Eukaryota; Viridiplantae; Streptophyta; Magnoliopsida; Poales; Poaceae.
AUGAUUGAGGGGGCAAGGUUCCACAAUAUGCUGGGCGGCGCUGGCAUCGGCGGCGGCAGAGGGAAGCUGGAGAACGAGAGCAACGGCUUCUACGACAUGCCGUAUUACCACAAGGUCGGGGAGAGCUCCCACAUGUCGGUGGACAGCGCGGACAACAUGAACUCGAUGAGCUAUGUCGGCGGCUCGGUCGCCAUGUCGGUGGACAACAGCAGCGUGGCCUCCAACGAGUCCCGCACCGUCAUGCUCAACCACCCAGGCCUCCGUGAUGUCCCCACACCAAACUAUUCGGUUUGCAACAGUGUCAUCUACCCCAACAAGGCUGCCGCGUCUGUUCUCAAGGAGGAUGCUCUGGCUCGGGUUUUGAUGGACCCGACUCAUCCAACAGAGAUACUCACUAACUAUGAGGCGUGGACCAUUGAUCUGGGGAAGCUGGACAUGGGGGCUCCUUUUGCUCAGGGGGCCUUUGGGAAGCUGUAUCGGGGAACAUACAACGGGGAAGAUGUUGCCAUUAAGCUGCUGGAGAAGCCUGAGAAUGACCUAGAGAGAGCACAGUUGAUGGAACAGCAGUUUGUGCAAGAAGUUAUGAUGCUUUCCACGUUGAGGCACCCAAAUAUCGUAAGGUUCAUCGGGGCAUGCAGGAAGUCGAUUGUUUGGUGUAUCAUUACUGAAUAUGCAAAAGGUGGCUCUGUCAGGCAGUUCCUUGCCCGAAGGCAGACCAAGUCUGUGCCCCUGAGAUUGGCAGUGAAACAGGCGCUUGAUGUUGCCAGAGGAAUGGCAUAUGUGCAUGCCCUGGGAUUUAUUCACAGGGAUCUGAAGUCAGAUAACCUUCUAAUUUCAGCAGACAAAUCCAUCAAGAUUGCAGACUUUGGAGUUGCUCGAAUCGAGGUAAAAACCGAGGGAAUGACUCCAGAGACAGGAACCUACCGUUGGAUGGCGCCGGAGAUGAUCCAGCACAGGCCUUAUGAUCAUAAGGUCGACGUGUAUAGCUUUGGGAUUGUGCUGUGGGAGCUCAUGACCGGCAUGCUCCCCUUCACAAACAUGACAGCGGUUCAGGCAGCUUUUGCUGUGGUGAACAAGAACGCUCGUCCUGCGAUCCCACAAGAUUGCCUGCCCGCUCUAAGCCAUAUCAUGACCCGUUGCUGGGAUGCAAACCCUGAAGUCCGCCCAUCAUUCAACGAGGUUGUGACCAUGCUCGAGGCUGCUGAGACGGACGUUGUCAGCAAUGUCCGUAAGGCACGGUUCCGCUGCUGCAUCUCCGAGCCCAUGACCACCGACUGA